AUUGAGAUUGAUUCUGUCUUUAUUUAAAUUAGCUUGAUGAUAAUAUUAAAUACAAGUUUUUGCGAGAAUGUUGGUUGUCUAAAAGAUAAUUUUAUUUAUUUGUAGUUUUUAAUUUUAAGUAUUACAGAUAUGUAGACUUAGUCAAUUAUUUUAGAUCUGUUAAAAGUUGUGCCAGCAAACGCGGUUAUACAUCUAGAUCUAGUUAAUUUUUUUGGUUAGUAUUUAUUUUAAAUUUGUUGGAUAUUAAAUUUUUUUUUGUAGGUGAAAUUUUAAUUUGAACUAUAUUUUCUUGGUUUAAGAUUAUAUGAAGUUUAGGAUAAAAACUAGGAUUAGAUACCCUAUUAUUCUAAAUGUAAAUUUAUAUAACCAUAGUAUUAAUAGUUAUGAUCUUUAAAUUAAAAGGAUUUGGCGGUAAUUUAGUCUUUUCAGAGGAACCUGUCCUGUAAUCGAUAAUCCACGUUAUAUUUAACUUUAAUUAUUGUUUGUAUAUCUCUGUCAUUGAAUGUUUUAUUAGGAUAUUUUCUUUAAUUAUUAAUUUAAUUAAUGUCAGGUCAAGGUGCAGCUAUAUUAAAGGUUGAGAUGGGUUACAUUUAAUGU
This 597-nucleotide ribosomal RNA is filed under the name Spathocera dalmanii. Its description in RNAcentral is "partial small subunit ribosomal RNA". Lineage: Eukaryota; Metazoa; Arthropoda; Insecta; Hemiptera; Coreidae. The record is from RNAcentral.